GCAUAUCAAUAAGCGGAGGAAAAGAAACUAACAAGGAUUCCCCUAGUAGCGGCGAGCGAAGCGGGAAGAGCUCAAAUUUAUAAUCUGGCGCUUUCAGCGUCCGAGUUGUAAUCUCUAGAAGUGUUUUCCGCGUUGGACCGCACAUAAGUCUGUUGGAAUACAGCGGCACAGUGGUGAGACCCCCGUUCACGGUGCGGAUGCCCAAUGCUUUGUGAUACACUUUCGAAGAGUCGAGUUGUUUGGGAAUGCAGCUCAAAUUGGGUGGUAAAUUCCAUCUAAAGCUAAAUAUUGGCGAGAGACCGAUAGCGAACAAGUACCGUGAGGGAAAGAUGAAAAGCACUUUGGAAAGAGAGUUAACAGUACGUGAAAUUGUUGGAAGGGAAACGCUUGAAGUCAGACUUGCUAUUCGGGGCUUGCUCCGAGUUGCAGGCCAGCAUCAGUUUUUCGGGGCGGAAAAUCACGGAUUGAAGGUAGCAGUUUCGGCUGUGUUAUAGCUUUCCGUUGGAUACGUCCUGGGGGACUGAGGAACGCAGUGUGCUUUUAGCGAGGGCUUCGGCUCUUUCACACUUAGGAUGCUGGUGGAAUGGCUUUAAACGACCCGUCUUGAAACACGGACC
This 617-nucleotide ribosomal RNA is filed under the name Rhodosporidiobolus ruineniae. RNAcentral's name for it is "LSU rRNA". It matches the Rfam family "Eukaryotic large subunit ribosomal RNA", at positions 38 to 667 of the family's 3401-position model. The record is from RNAcentral. Lineage: Eukaryota; Fungi; Basidiomycota; Microbotryomycetes; Sporidiobolales; Sporidiobolaceae.